Molecule: transfer RNA, 69 nt
Filed under: Dipodomys ordii (Ord's kangaroo rat)
Lineage: Eukaryota; Metazoa; Chordata; Mammalia; Rodentia; Heteromyidae
Rfam family: tRNA
About the family: Transfer RNA (tRNA) molecules are approximately 80 nucleotides in length. Their secondary structure includes four short double-helical elements and three loops (D, anti-codon, and T loops).
Source: Rfam by way of RNAcentral
GGACAUGUGGCUCAGUAGUAGAGUGCUUGCCUUGCAUGCAUGAGGCCCUGGGUUCAAUUCCUCAGACCA